RNAcentral lists this ribosomal RNA (497 nucleotides) under uncultured bacterium. RNAcentral describes it as "partial 16S ribosomal RNA". It matches the Rfam family "Bacterial small subunit ribosomal RNA", at positions 28 to 507 of the family's 1533-position model. The record is from RNAcentral.
GAUGAACGCUGGCGGCGUGCCUAAUACAUGCAAGUCGAGCGAACAGACGAGGAGCUUGCUCCUCUGACGUUAGCGGCGGACGGGUGAGUAACACGUGGAUAACCUACCUAUAAGACUGGGAUAACUUCGGGAAACCGGAGCUAAUACCGGAUAAUAUAUUGAACCGUAUGGUUCAAUAGUGAAAGACGGUUUUGCUGUCACUUAUAGAUGGAUCCGCGCCGCAUUAGCUAGUUGGUAAGGUAACGGCUUACCAAGGCGACGAUGCGUAGCCGACCUGAGAGGGUGAUCGGCCACACUGGAACUGAGACACGGUCCAGACUCCUACGGGAGGCAGCAGUAGGGAAUCUUCCGCAAUGGGCGAAAGCUUGACGGAGCAACGCCGCGUGAGUGAUGAAGGUCUUCGGAUCGUAAAACUCUGUUAUUAGGGAAGAACAAAUGUGUAAGUAACUAUGCACGUCUUGACGGUACCUAAUCAGAAAGCCACGGCUAACUACGUG